UCCUGCCUCGGACUCUCGGUGCUUCUCGGCACUCGGCAGACUGGUAAAUGGAAACACACCCAGACACCCUACAGUUUCAGUUCGAUUAACAAACGCAAUACGCCAAUGAGGCAACUCAUGGCGGGUCCCCCAGGCUUGGCCAUGGCCCCUCUACAACUUCCCUCUCUCUCUCUCUCUCUCCUGAGAGGCGGAUCGGCGACAGAGGGGAGACGCUCAGUCUACACACAUCGGCAAAGGGCACUCGAGUGGGUGGAGUGUGGCGAGGAGGGGGACGACGGCGCCAUUGCGACGGAGCGAGGGGACAGGUCACAGGUGAGACCCGACCUCUGGCCAUCUCUUCGUUUCUCUCCCUAAUUUCACGACCAUUCAACUGCCACACGGGGAAUCAGUUCAUGGGUAUUUCCUAUCGGGGCGACAAGUUCCUGUACUAACCAGCGAACACCAUCGAUGGAGUUCAGGAGGUGUCGGAUCCGUCAUCAUUAGGGCUGGUUUGGUGAAGAAAUUGAGCGGGAUUGAGGGGGAAAUUAGUUCAUUUCCCCCUUAAUCCUUUCUAAUCUCCCUCAAUCCCCUUGUCACCAAACCUACCCUUUACAAAGACCAGAAUCCUGGUGGAUAAGCCUGGGGGCGUUAGUUAGCUGGUCGCUAAAUCCAAAAAUUCCUCUUCCGCAGAAAAAGAAACCCAACAAUUCCUGCAUUCUUAAGAUUUGCAUUUAGGCACGAAAUAAUUUUACAACAAUCAUCAGGAGGAAAAAAGAAUCUUGUUCUGGGAGUGCUUGCGUUCUAGCCAAGACAUUUACAAAUGAAAUACCAUAGUUAAUAUGAUAUUUUUCACAGAUUGAUCGCGGUUAGCUUCUGAUAUGGUCAGUAUUUCCAGUUCUAGUACCACCUAGAUUUGUAGCCUGAUCUAGCAUUCUAGCAACCUCUUCCAAGCAUCUUUCCAGGGGGAUCAACUCGGUCAGGCCUUGCCAGAAGUCUGUAGUUUCACUACCAGCGGCAUCGUCACGCGAGCAUCACUUCCAUUUCCAUGCCAAGACAAAGAGCCAAAAACGUAACCUCGAGGAGGCACAUCCACGUGUAAGCUAACUGCGAACAUCCUCUUUUCACCAUAGCUCUUGAAAUUUAUGACUUCUGGUGUCACUCUCACGCUGGUUCCUGGCGGAGCUGACACCACAGCAUGGUAAGUACUCCUUGGAUUGCCCACAUUAGUCAUUGUUCGCGUCACCGAAUAGCUCUGCUUCAGAUACGGAACGGUGAUCGACGGGUAGUUCAGAGCAGUGGCAGAAGAGGAGGCUCUGUGGGUGCAGCUACUGUUGUCUCCGGUGAUUAGAUGCACGGAGUGGUCAUCGCGGCUUAUUAUGGCACAUAAGAAUGACUUGUAGUCUUCAGGAUGUGUAUCGAAGAUGAUCCCUGGGCUGAGAGCUUUGACGGGGUCCAUAAAACCCGAGCCAAAGUCAAACGGCGUUGCAGCCCCCCCAUUGGGGUCCCUUGCUAUGGUUUUCCUUUUGGUGUCCAGUACGGUUGCUGCAAACAAGAUUCAUGAGUCGACAGGUUGCAACACUAGUUUGUCAUCUUCGGAGAUCUCAGGUUACGCGCUAAUAUACCUGUUGUCAUGAUUGCCGAUUUGAUGCCUGAAGGAGACCAUGACGGAUACACGCUCUUCACGAGAGCUGCUAUUCCUGUAACGUGCGGACAUGCCAUGGAAGUUCCAGAUAGAACGUUGAAGCGCAUACCGUUCUUGGCAGGAGACCACGCCGCCAAGAUGUUCAGCCCAGGAGCAGCAACAUCUGGCUACAAAAAAAAAGCACACAUGGAGAAGAAACUGAGGAGGACGUCAAUCAGUUUAUUUAUCACCUGUAUUAGUCUUUCCCAGCGGUUUAGUGCUAGUCGUUACCUUCAGAAUCUCAGGUGUCAGUGAGCUCGGACCUCUCGAAGAGAACGCCGCUACUCGCGGGGCGUCUCGCAGCCCUAAGACCGUCUUUGCCGGCAAGAUCAGUGUGCAGGCACGCCUGUAGAAUUGCUAUUAGACAAAAAAAGAUUGGCAUGCCAAUGAAAUGCACGCUUUCCUAUAUAUAGUAAAGUUCAGACAACCUUGUGCUCUUGACAUAAGAAACAAUUUUAUCACCCAUGGCUUUCCCAACAGUUACUCCAGGCACAGCAAAGCGAUUAGCGACAUGAUCCUCCAUCUCAUCGAUGAGGAUCAUCCCAGCCGCACCAGCUUCCUUCACAACCAUGCUCGUCGAUAGACGUGACUCGGAGGAGCCUUGGUUACGGCGGCAGAUAAGGAUCUUUCCCUUGGCCUUGGUCCUGUUCAAAGAGCUAUCCAGGCACAAGCUGACACCAAGUCCACAAGAAAUUUUCAGUUGGGCUGACAAUCCAAAUCAUGAUUAUCUUUCGAGAUAAUAGUUGUUUAUUGUUUACCUGGACUGGUAAGGGGUGAAAUAGCCUGCGUUGACUUCCGAAGCUGCGAUGGUUCUGACGGGAGUUUCCAUGCGGUACGUACUCAGGCUCUCACCCUUAAUUAAGACCGCAUAUAAUAAGUAGUGUUCCGCAUAUAAAGACUGGAGGCGUCGUUUUUAAGAGUGGGAAGGGAAUUUACCAUUACGGAGGUACCGUUUGCCAGGCUGACAUACGAAGAGAACGAUCUGUCAGUCGUUCCUGCAGCCACCGUGAGCAUCCACGGCGCGAGGUUAGUCGCCGAGCCCUGUCUCCCGGCGUUCCCCGCCGAGGAAACGACCAGUAUCCCGUUGCUCGUCGCGUGGAACGACCCGAUGGAUAUGGCGUCGCUGAGGUAGUCGCCCUGGGGGUAGUCUGGGCCUAGCGACACAGAUAUAAUGUCGACGCCGUCUCUGAUGGCAUCGUCGAACGCCGCGAGAAUGUCAACAUCGUAGCAGCCAGUUUCCCAGCAGGCCUUGUAGGCUGCAAUCCUUGCCAUGGGGGCUCCUCCCCGCCCUCCUCCGGUGCCCAGACCACCUCCGUAGCUCAUGUCCCUGACAAACCUUCCGGCCGCUAUCGAGGCAGUGUGGCUGCCAUGCCCCGAGCUGUCCCUUGGAGAUACGAACUUGAUGGCGCCACCCUCUUCUGUUUGGUAUCCGCUGAGGUAAUAUCUGCCUCCUAUUACCUUCCUAUCGUGCAUGUUUGGGGGGUGGCUUUAGAAAAUUCCAAUGCUGGAAUACCGUACCGUGGGUUGGUUUUAGAGCGUGUGUACCUGUUGCAGGUGAAAUUUGACGGUGAGUUCGCGUCUCCUCCUUGGCAUUGCCCUCUCCAUCUUUUGGGAACCGGAGGCAUCCCGUGGUCACUGAAACUAGGGGAUUCUGGCCAGAUUCCUGAGGAGGUAAAAAAAAAACAAAACAAAACAGUUAGCUAGAAUUCCAUGAUUUUGGUUUCUAUCGAUCCGAUGGUAUCCUUUUUCGUUUCUGUCCGAACAGUCAUUUGAUGGCCAAGUCGGUCGAACAUGAAAACACAAACAUCAUGCCUUGUCAGUUUGUAAGCUAGAACACAACUGGAACUAAUAUGGUGGAAGAGAAGAUAUAUAUUCUUUUGGUGUCACAUGAUCUGACUGAAGAAUGCGAGUUCCAGUUUGAACCUAGCUAGCUUAGUAUACAUGUUACUGCAAUUGUACUCCAUCACCUGUAUCGAUGAAUCCAACAAUGACGUUCUCCUGGUUCUCGGUGGACAGUCCAGGGACCUGACCCUCUGCACUGGUGGACAAGCCCAUGAAAUCCCAGGAAUGGGUGGUGCGCAGUCGCCUCUUUGUGUUUGGGAACACCGAGACGACGCCAGGCAUCUCUGAAGAAAUUGAAGACGCGCAUCAGAAUUAUUAGGCGCCUUUUUGGCAUCACAGCUAGCUAGACUCAUUUAGGGGCCGUCUGUUUGGGAAAUGAAACCCGUAUAAUCUACUCAGACUAUGAUGUAAUCUAACUUGUUUUGGACCAAGAUUAAAUUCUAAAAGAGUAGCCUGUGUUGUGAAACUAAUUACCGGC
RNAcentral lists this long non-coding RNA (3980 nucleotides) under Zea mays. RNAcentral describes it as "long non-coding RNA (ZMAY_LNC003880)". Lineage: Eukaryota; Viridiplantae; Streptophyta; Magnoliopsida; Poales; Poaceae. The record is from RNAcentral.